UUAAAUCAAUUCCAGCCUUUCCAUGGCCUGAUGCUUCCCAUUUUGUCUCUUCCCUGGCUUGCUGUGGCCCAUCCUACAAGAGUAUCCUUGUCUCCAUCUUAACCAGCUCCUCCUAUGAAGUGACUGCUCCCCUAGAACCUGCUUUUUAUCACCUCUCUGAGUACAAAGCCAUGUCUGUAAGGUGAGAUGGAUGAAAAAAAUCAAACUAUGGAGACCUCCCUAUUUCAGGAUAGUGCCUGUCAUGGACAGUAUUGAUAUUUUUUUUCCUGUUCCUGGCAAUGUUUUUGUGGCAAAUUGUGAAAACUCAUCUAUUUGUGGUAGAUAGGUGGCUUUCCCAGGUGAGUUCACCCAAUUUCUAUGGACUCUUAAAACAUCUGAUCCUUCUUAUGAGUAGAUCUCAGUGAACAAGCUUAAAUGAAUAAGUUUGAAUGAAUAUUCCUCCCAGCUUUCUCUAACUCCUUCUUUUUUUAUCUCUUAAUUGUAAAACACCACAAGUGCAAACUGGAUUAGAGAUGCAUUUCUCAUGUGAAUAAAUACAGGUACUGUGUUGCAGCAGAUAUGAAAUUUUGUGAACCAAACCUGCUGCCCAACAAGUAAAACCCUUGUAGAGUCUGUACCAUGUGCUCAGAUGUGCACAGGCUGAAUUUUAAUUUAUUUUUUUAUUAGUUUUUAUUAUUAAUUUUAUUUUUUAUUUAUUUAUUAAUAUAUUAAGCUGGAACUUAUUUAUGAGGAAAGUCUUUUACUGACUUUGCCAACAGAAAACCACCUCUGUGGAGAGUCUAAAUUGUGGUUCCAUGAGACACAUAUUGGAUUUUUUUUUUGUUAUCAUUCUGAUGAAAACCUUUAUUGAUCUUCUGCUAUUUCUGUUUGAAAUGAAGACAAACUUGGGCACUUUAUGCUGAGAAGAAUCCAAGAGGAAAUAAAGGGCUUGCUUGAAAAUCCAAAUGAGAGAAAGUAGCUAUUGGAUGCAUUCUUGAGGAGGAAAGCACAGCAGAAGGGAGCAUUUAAAAUCCUGAAACGCUCUUAAUGCCUAGCAGUCAGACAAUAUCAAUUAUACAUGCCUCUGUGUGUUUAGAAACUCAAUAAAACUCUUCCAUUUCUCAGUGAUCCAGAGGAACAGCUUGUUCUGUAAAAGGCAUUUUCUAACUAUAGGCAGGAAUCAGAGGUCGGGAGAUACUUGUAAAUCACCCCAGCAGGAAGAUGCAGCAUCACAGUCUUGAGAUGAUACAGGAAAGGAGUAUUUUCUUGGCCAGAAUAUUUGCCUGCAGUGCUGUGGAAUAGGGAAGUUGGGGAGGAAUCCUAAUGGAGAGACAGCAAGUAGUGAAGAGCUUCAGUCUCCAGUGGCUGCAGCUGGGAGAUGGAGAGAGCCCUGAGCAUGAAACUUUACUGCAUGCCUGGAGGAAGAUGGAUCUCUCCUGUAUCCCACAGGCUGGAGAGGAGGGGGGAAGCACUCAGCCCUUUGGAAUGGUGUGUGCUGUGUCUGCCAACAGCUGCUGCUCCUGAGUGUCAUUAGCACCAAACUCGGAUCCAGGAAUGGCAAACAUAGACAUGAUUUCAUUAAUAUUAAAGGCCUUGCUACAGGAGAGUUCCACGUGUUGACAAGAUAACACACAGCUUUAAUAUAGCAAAUUUCUUGAGCUGGUGGGGAUUCUGGUGCCUUCCUUGUGGAAAAAAUUUGUUUUCAGUGUUUAAAAUGAGCCCUGAGUGAGAUGGGAGUGAAAUCCUGGUCCCUGUUUCCAUCAAAGUACUUUUCUUACAGAAACUCGACCUCCCACCUCACUUUUUCAAACAAGUGCCCUCUCCUGAUGCUGAGCAUCAAGAGUUUCAACAGCAACAAGCAUCACCACUUUCAGCUGGUUUUUCAGAAUAGACAUUUAGCAUGUGGUGUUUUACCCCCUUUCCCAGGACAGCUUGUUAAUUAAAGUGGAUCACUCAGGAGGCCUGUCUGGAAGGAACUCUGGAUGGGAGAGGAGGUGCAAACCCAGAGGACCAACACCAAGCACAACCAGCUGUUCUCUUGAAAGGGAGGAGUUAAAAAUCCAAGCUGAAAAGGACAAAGAAAGGAGGGGGAAAGGAAAAAUCUUGAUGCUGGAAAAUGAGAAGCUGCUUAUCAGAGGAAAUGUGGAUGUGUGAUGCCAGGGAAGGAAGCAUAUGGAGUCAAUGCCAAGUGUGUAUUUCUUGUGGCAUAAGGAAAAACAUGAUGCUGGUGGUGGUGGUAGUGAAGAUUCUCCCUGGAAAAACAGUGAGAGAUGCAGGACGUCUGCUGAAGGAAAUAGAGCUGAAGGCCUGGAUUGAAUGGGUGAUGUCUGAAAGGAGCUCCUGGUGAAAGUGUGGGACGGUGUGAAACUGGCCUUAAAAAUAUGGCAAGUGACCAGCAGCCUUUCCUGAGAACCAGGUACCUCUGGAGGUGUGGAAGCCUGCGUGUAAAAUCCGAAUUGUGUGGAAACAAGAUGUCACAUAAUUCCCUGUUAAGAUGAGAGGAGCAGGAAUGCAGUAUUCAGGAUGGAACUGUGCUUUGGGAAUAUAUUUUACCCUCACAUGCAUUUAGUUGCACUGAUUAAAACUGAACUAUAUCUUCUUCCAUCACUGCCAUCAGGCUGGAAAUCCAGAAAAAAGAUUUAAUUUCCUAAAGAGACAAGUCCCAGUAAUGUGUGAUUAUUAACUGGACAACUCUUCAGAAUUACAAAAUGCUCACAAAGACAAGCAAACCAACCUUGAGUUUGGACUGUGGGGCUGCCAGCUGAAGCCCUGAGUAACCUGUGUGUAAGAAGAGGUACUACAGCACU
Manacus vitellinus (golden-collared manakin) is the source of this 2786-nucleotide long non-coding RNA. RefSeq lists it as uncharacterized. The record is from RefSeq and is a predicted model, not a curated record. The transcript is spliced from 10 exons. NCBI's taxonomy places the organism in Eukaryota, Metazoa, Chordata, Aves, Passeriformes, Pipridae.